Lathyrus oleraceus (garden pea) is the source of this 801-nucleotide long non-coding RNA. RefSeq lists it as uncharacterized. The record is from RefSeq and is a predicted model, not a curated record. The transcript is spliced from 4 exons. Lineage: Eukaryota; Viridiplantae; Streptophyta; Magnoliopsida; Fabales; Fabaceae.
CGCACACUGCACCAAAUCACAAGAUCCUCACUCACACGAAGAAAUCAAGAAGGAAGAAGAAGGGAGAGCACGAAGCGAAUACACGCACCAAGUACGUAAACAGAAAGAAGCGCAAUCGAUACAUGUUGUUAACAUCGCGGUGAAACCGAAAUGCAUGUAUGAAGAUUGAGAAAUAUCAGACUGCCAAGACUUCUUUAGAGACCGGUGCCGCAUUGGUUGCAGACACAUCAAGAUUUGUUAAUUUGACCAAAGAAUGCGAUAGGCUCAUUUCAGACUGACAUGAUCUUGGAUGACAUUGUCUUAAACAAAGGUGAAAUCCACUUAGCACAUUUGUAUAUGAUGAUAAAGAUGCUGUAAGAGAGGAUCCUUUGACUGAGUAUGUUCAUACUCUGAAGGUUUUUGAGGGAGAACUUUGGAUGUUUGUGUUGCUUAUGUUAGAGCUAGGGUUUUGUGAUAUUGCAGGUUGAAAUAGUUAUGGGAUUAGAGGAAGAAUUUGGGCUCAAUAUUGAGGAUGAUAACUCUGAAAACAUCACAACCAUUCAAGAAGCAACUGAUUUGAUGCAGAGGAUAAACCCAGUUGUGUUAGUAACUCGGUUCUGGUUUAGUGUUUUGGUUCAGUUGUAUUAAGCUAAUUUGCCAUUUUGUUGAUUGAUUGAUUAGUUAAUUAAGUUGUCUUUUUCAUUGUUUGGUUUCUUGCAGUCAAAGAUGUUCAAAGCGUGACUUUUUUCCCCAUAUGCCCCAAAGUUGAAAAGAAUUUCCCACCUUGCCCCAGUUUGAAAAAAAAUUCUCAAUCUGCCCCCU